GGUCAGAUAGCACAACGGUUAGUGCGCGGAUGCUUGAUCAAGGUUAAAGCAAUAUUCGAUCCGCUAACCUCGUUCGACUCGGGGUCUGGCCC
Molecule: non-coding RNA, 92 nt
Organism: Mycena metata
Lineage: Eukaryota; Fungi; Basidiomycota; Agaricomycetes; Agaricales; Mycenaceae
Source: the annotation of a GenBank genome assembly